UAGGGAAUCUUCGGCAAUGGACGAAAGUCUGACCGAGCAACGCCGCGCGAGUGAAGAAGGUUUUCGGAUCGUAAAACUCUGUUGUUAGAGAAGAACAAGGACGUUAGUAACUGAACGUCCCCUGACGGUAUCUAACCAGAAAGCAACGGCUAACUACGUGCCAGCAGCCGCGGUAAUACGUAGGUGGCAAGCGUUGUCCGGAUUUAUUGGGCGUAAAGCGAGCGCAGGCGGUUUCUUAAGUCUGAUGUGAAAGCCCCCGGCUCAACCGGGGAGGGUCAUUGGAAACUGGGAGACUUGAGUGCAGAAGAGGAGAGUGGAAUUCCAUGUGUAGCGGUGAAAUGCGUAGAUAUAUGGAGGAACACCAGUGGCGAAGGCGGCUCUCUGGUCUGUAACUGACGCUGAGGCUAGAAAGCGUGGGGAGCAAACAGG
This 429-nucleotide ribosomal RNA is filed under the name Gemmatimonadota bacterium. RNAcentral describes it as "Gemmatimonadetes bacterium partial 16S ribosomal RNA". It matches the Rfam family "Bacterial small subunit ribosomal RNA", at positions 355 to 776 of the family's 1533-position model. Lineage: Bacteria; Pseudomonadati; Gemmatimonadota. The record is from RNAcentral.